GAUGAACGCUGGCGGCGUGCCUAAUACAUGCAAGUCGAGCGAACGGACGAGAAGCUUGCUUCUCUGAUGUUAGCGGCGGACGGGUGAGUAACACAUGGAUAACCUACCUAUAAGACUGGGAUAACUUCGGGAAACCGGAGCUAAUACCGGAUAAUAUUUUGAACCGCAUGGUUCAAAAGUGAAAGACGGUCCUGCUGUCACUUAUAGAUGGAUCCGCGCUGCAUUAGCUAGUUGGUAAGGUAACGGCUUACCAAGGCAACGAUGCAUAGCCGACCUGAGAGGGUGAUCGGCCACACUGGAACUGAGACACGGUCCAGACUCCUACGGGAGGCAGCAGUAGGGAAUCUUCCGCAAUGGGCGAAAGCCUGACGGAGCAACGCCGCGUGAGUGAUGAAGGUCUUCGGAUCGUAAAACUCUGUUAUUAGGGAAGAACAUAUGUGUAAGUAACUGUGCACAUCUUGACGGUACCUAAUCAGAAAGCCACGGCUAACUACGUG
Molecule: ribosomal RNA, 497 nt
Filed under: uncultured bacterium
Lineage: Bacteria
Description: partial 16S ribosomal RNA
Rfam family: Bacterial small subunit ribosomal RNA
Source: RNAcentral